GGUAAUUGUUGCAGAAAUUUAUCCCUCCUGCCAUAGCUCAAACGCAAGGCUCAGAUUUGCUAUUUUUAACCAGAGGCUAUUCUAGAAGUCAUUAGCUAGUCAGUUCAACUCCUGAAUACAUAUGGUCUUCUUAGAAUGUUAUACAGGCCUCAAUAACAACCCCUUGACAGCUAUUUUCUUCCUUCUUUCCUUUCCUUUCCUUUUUUUCUUUUAUAGUUACUUUCCUCCCUCUGAGGUCACUAUGAGAAAAAUACUCAAAGCAGAGGAAACAAAUAUUUAUCAGCUUGAAAAGGAACUGUUCUAAUGCUGAUGUCAUAUAAAAUGAGGCCAAAAUUAUACAAAAACAGGCCAAGGUACUGUGUGACAUACUAUGAACCCAAAGAAGAUUGUGCUGAGCUUUUGGAAGUGCACCUGCCCUGCCUCUUUAACUUUUGUGAGUACUGUAGUUUGAACAUGAUUUGCCCUACAAAACAAGAAAACCUGAUAGCCACAUUCUGUUCUAUUCAUCCACCAAGUUAUUGGCUGUAGUGAGUGAUGCAUGUCCUGGGGAACUGGAGACCAGUGCUGAGUGAAUUUGGUGACUUCAUUGCCAUCUGGCAUGAAUAUCAGAGAAAUUACCCGGCCUGCUGCCACAUGUCUAAGUGGAUGUUUGACAAGGCCUGGUCCUAGGGGACAGCAGAAGAGAAAUAUCGAGGACCAAGGGACUGGAGGAAGGUAGAAAGAAGUGACCACAUAAACACCGUUGGCGGAAACAUUCAGCUCUCUCCAGCCCCGUGCGACCUCAGGAGCUAGAUGGAACCAUUUCUUUAGGGAAAGCUGGCAGUUGUUUAUACAACCGCAAGCUGAGCAUCCAGGUGACCAGUCCAGCGUUUCUUCCCCAGCACCUCUCUGCACACUUCUCUUUUUCCUCUUUGCAGAAAGUCAGUGGGAACAGGACCCUUUCCUUGAAUCUUUCCUAGAGGAUUUCAAGAGCCCAGCUCUCAGGUUUGGGGCUUACCUCACUGAUGCUCUUGGAAGCAGGCCAGGAAGACGCGGUCAUUUCCACCUCCUACCGCUAGAGAGCAGCGCGUCACCACAGGGACCCUUGAGCCGCGAAACGCUUCGCCUUGUGCGGAGAGAAUCCUCCCCAAGGCCUGGACGCAGUUCUUCCAAUUCCGUUUCCCCAGGGUUUGGCCUAGGAUCUUGGACAGCACUUUAUAAUUACAGACAUUCUGCCUGCUCAGGCCUCUCACCCCAGGCUGUGCCCCCGCAGGUGUUCAGACAUUUCUGUUGCCUGUUGAGGAGAAAAUGGACUGAGGGAACGAGGGCAGAGGGACAGCGCCAUCGGCCGGGCAGGACUCUGGCUGGACUCACUCCCGGCGCCCCUGCGAACUGGGGGCCCUGCCCUUAGUGCCUGUCACUACAUGUGACAAAUGGCUCUGUUUUUCUGAGCUACACACACCCACCCCCAGUGACAUCUGCCUUCUUCCGAAGAUAUCAGAGGAGAGAAGGCAGGAUUACUCAUGACAGUCACGAUUUGCUCUGUCCCACAGUGCAGAUGGAAAAACUGAGGCAUGAAGAGGCCGCUUCAUGAACUAUUUUGAACUAUAAAUGAGUACAGCAUGAAGCAUCAUCAUUUACCACCAGGACAGUAUGACAUUAGAAUUUAGGUAUGUUGGCCAGGGUAUUUUUUAGUGGCUUAUGCAUUGGAAUUAGGAUGAAGCUGGAAACCAUCAUUCUGAGCAAACUAUCGCAAGUACAGAAAACCAAACACCGCAUGUUCUCAC
This 1766-nucleotide long non-coding RNA is filed under the name Macaca fascicularis (crab-eating macaque). Its description in RNAcentral is "lncRNA (ENSMFAG00000064099.1)". The record is from RNAcentral. Lineage: Eukaryota; Metazoa; Chordata; Mammalia; Primates; Cercopithecidae.